AAUAGUUAAAGGGCCGCGGUAUUUUAACCGUGCAAAGGUAGCAUAAUCACUAGUCUUUUAAAUGGAGACUUGAAUGAAUGGUUGAACAAAUAAAUAGCUGUCUUUUUUUUAAAAUUUGAAUUUAACUUUUAAGUGAAAAGGCUUAAAUAUUUCAGGGGGACGAUAAGACCCUAUAAAUCAUUGUAUUGGGGCGAUAAAAGUAUAAUUUAUAACUGCUUAUUUUUGAAUACUAAUAUAUUUGUAAUGAUCCUUUAAAAGAUUUGAAGAUUAAGUUACUUUAGGGAUAACAGCGUUAUUUUUUUUGAGAGUUCUUAUCGAAAAAAAAGUUUGCGACCUCGAUGUUGAAUUAAAAUUUCUUUAUGGUGUAGUCUUUAUAAAAGAAGGUCUGUUCGACCUUUAAAAUUUU
RNAcentral lists this ribosomal RNA (406 nucleotides) under Homola orientalis. Its description in RNAcentral is "partial 16S large subunit ribosomal RNA". It matches the Rfam family "Bacterial large subunit ribosomal RNA", at positions 1915 to 2597 of the family's 2925-position model. The record is from RNAcentral. Lineage: Eukaryota; Metazoa; Arthropoda; Malacostraca; Decapoda; Homolidae.